AAUCAGUGUCACUAGGACAGUACAAAAGAAUUACGAUUGUUGGGCAACACAAGUGGGCUUAGAGACAUAUGGUCAAAACUGGGAAGAUAUAGCCUGAUCACCUAUAUUAUCCGAGGGUUGACUAGCAUGUGCCUAAGUUUAAGUGUGUGGUUGCAACAAUGCUAAAAUCUUACCAACCCUACCACAAUGAGAACAAUAGAACAUAACAUUAAAAUUAAAAUACUAUAGGAGUAUUUGGUGUUACUAUAAGUACUUUAUACUUGAGAACUAAAACGGGAUCUUCAUUACUAAGUUGAUAGUUGCUAAGUGGAUACACUAAGGCUAUAUGUAAUUAGGAUGUUAUAGACUUAGAAUCUGUGGAAAUUUUACUUUACCCCUAUUCUGUGUGAAUUUGGAGUUAAGAUCACUUAUUCGAAGGCCUAUCCUGUUUAGAUUACACAUAGCUGGUAUGCACUUCACAAAUAGCGAUGUAACUAAUGAAGGUUUUCUAAAUAAUUAUCUAGAUAGUUCGUCUAAUAAUUAUUCUCUUACCCUAAAUUCUCGCAUAGAAAACAUAGAUGGACUCCAUCCCCUCGGCAACCAUUAUCUUCCGAAUGAAGUCAUAGCUGGUUGGUUUAGAGAAGAACCAGAUAAUGAUCAUCCUAUCCCUUUGAAUGAUCACCAUGAUGAAAACCCUUCGGACGAUGCUAACUCCGAACCAGAGGUUGAGAACCUACCCUAAGCAGCUCCCUUUCCAAUUCCUAACCCUCGUCCGGCUUUUCAUGGCCCAACGCCUGAGUGGGUGGAAUGUUCAAAAACAUGGAGCCAAGGACAAGAUCAGCCCAUGCCAUUUAAUGGAGACCGAAGCUUUUACGACCUGAGCAAUGGGGGCUCAGCAGAUAGAGUCUUGCCAAUCUUGGUCCGCAGAGAGGCCCGAAAUGAGAUUUAAGGUAGGACAGCCCUACAUCAGAUUACCGAAGUUGUCGCCUAUGCUAGAAUGCAUACUCUCUGCACCAUUUGUCUAGAAGAUGCUCGUGACAGAUUUGAGAGAAUCCAUGAGAUCCUGCUGCAAGCACUGGCUGAAUCACGAGCCGAAGUCAUAGAGCUCCGAGUACGCCAGAGGGUGUACGAAAGACACCUACUUGAUGUGGAACGUCAACUGGCUAAACUGAGAGUUCACCAGAGGGAUGACCCUCGCCGGUAGAAGACGCUUUACUUUAUUUUUUCUUGUUAACAGGAAUCGUUUUCUGUCUACGCCCGAUGUGGCAUUUUCUAUGAAAUUAUCUUGUAUCGUAAGUACUUUUGGUUAGAUCUCUAGGCUGUCAAGAACUAUCUUCUCCGGAUAUGAUGUAAGACCUUUACAAGGUCAUUUUCCCAAACUUUUACGUCAUGAAUGUCAAAGAUAUCGAUAGUCGGCUAACUUCUGUGUCAUUCUUUAUUAAAGUACUCUUAUCAUACUUUUAUUGGAGUCUAUCUGAAUCAUGCUUUAGUCAAGUCAUUGGACUAUAGUAAAUUAGCUCCGGAGACAUUCCAAGUCUCUUUUAGUGGUUGGAUCUUGUUAUUCACCAUCCCACGAUACCUCGACUUGAACGACAAACGUCUUGAGACCAUUCUACAAACUCACUUCCAUUCUGUACUAGGACUGCAUCAUAGGGAUGUAGGUCAAACCUUUGUGAUCAUACUUCCAAUCCGUGCUAGGACUGCAUCAUAGGGAUGUAGGUCAAACUUUCGAGAACAUAGUCGUACUCUUUUACAUGAAACAUCUAAGUACAUCAAGGGUCAACCAGAAUUGCUCAAAAAAUCCUUAUCUUUCGUGUAACAGAAUCAUGUCGUCACCCGGAAACAAUCAGUUGAACAGCGAGACCUCUGCCUUUACUAUGGACGCCGCUACCUUCCAAACAGCAGUUACAACUGUCGUGGUAGCUGCCGUAACCGUUGUCCUUGCUCACCGUGGCACUAUCAGCACAAUCAAUAGUAUUGAUGGGAAUGAAGUUUCCAAUCGUGGUAUCCAUCCAGGAAGUCAUCGAACGGUAACGGCCACAGGCCCGCAAAGCCAAAAAUCAAAGAACAAGAAACGGAAGCGUCAAGCCCAGAAAGAACGCAAGAAACCUGAAAACUUGCCAUGCAACAACAAGUGGAAACCUCUGCCAUCCCCGUACCGAGCAGACCAUACAAAGGAACACUCCCGAAGUGCGACCGGUGCAACUACCACCACGAGGGAAUGUGUCGAGCCUUGCAAUGCGAUAAUUGCAACAAGAUGGGGCACAUUGCUUGUUUCUGUAGAACUACCUCCGCCACUGGGGCAAGCCUAGCUUGUUAUAAUUGUGGUGAGUUUGGGCACUAUAAAAGAGAUUGCCCGAAAAAGGAAUUCAAGGAAAGAACCUGCGUCUCCAUAACUCCUACUAAACACUUCACUUCCACCACCAAUGUGGGUGCAGUCCAUAUAUGUCACCAAUGCGGUGAAAUUGGACAACUCAAGAAGGAUUGCCCGAUAGCAAAGAACUCGGGUGCAGAUGUGAAGAUUCUUAGGAUCACAGCUGCAGGGGAACCUACUCCGGAACCUUCGUUAAUGUAAUUUAGGCGUUUCGUAGUAACAGACUUAUAAACUAUCCAGAACUAGUGCAACUAGGGUCUUACCUUUUGCGAGAUCCUGUCUUUAUAGGGAUGCUCGUGCUGCGUAUACUUGUCUUUUGCAGUAUAUCUUAUUCGCAGCAAUGGCCUUGUUGUAAAUCUAAAGUACUGUAACUCUGUUCAUGGUUGCACGGUUGUGUUUUGUCCGUAAACGUCUUAUGUUCAAAUCUAAUGUCUUUAAGUUUCUGUAUCAUUCCGACAUUAUCAUACAACUAGAUUCAAUUUGAUCGACACCAUACCAGCCUCAUACGUACAUAUCUUUCUUCUAGAUCGCUUUUCCAGCGAAGCCGACAUAUCAAAACACCAAAGUACUCAUGCCAGGAGUACCUCUUAGAUAUUUUCUUUCCGAAGAAAUCCCCAAAGUACCACUCGUGCAGUACGUCAAGUUCAAUCCAAGGAUUCAUACGAUUAAUCUAUCACUGAGGAAUGUAUACAUAAGAGUGAUAUAUAAUCAAGGUUCUACAGGUUUAGAAUUGAUGAUUCCACUUUAACUUCUUUUUCCCCGUUGGGAUGUGAGCUUAAAGAAGAAUCAGUUAUUCGACUACCUUUUCAAUCUUAAUUACAUACGACUCAUAUACACGAGAUUGUGAUUGUGAAAACAUGUAUGAAUUCUAAUAUGAACUUCAGGACGGAGAACUGCCUAAGCCUACGAGUAAUCGCAUCGUCAUGUGAACAAACUUAGAACCCAGUACGACUUUUGUAAACAGAUCGCCCUAUAGUCUAAACACCUAUGGAAAUACCAGAACAGUACAGACAACUUAGCGAACCACACAGAAAUAGAAUUAGAAGACUAGGCUUCCUACCCUAGUGAACCCCAGUCUUAUUCUUCCAGAGAUCGACGGAUUGCAUCGUAUGUGCCUCGGAUAUCAAGGACUCCGUCAAGAUUUUCAUUAGAAAUCGUUAUCUCUGCCUCGCAUAGAUGAAACGGUUGAGCAAACGCAAGGAAAGAAUUACUUUCAGAAAUGGAUCGGAGAUCCGAAAUCACCAUUUCGAGUGUUAGGGAAGGAUGUCCGGAAGAUUAUCUUCCGAACUCGAUGCGGACACUUCGAAUCCGUAGUGAUACCCUUCAGAUAGGACCAAUACGCCCAUAGCUUUCAUGAGCUAAACGAAUAGGUAAGAAGGAACCCAUGGAAACAUUACCUUCAGAGAAACUUUUCACAAAGUUCUAUGAACUCGAGUUUUGGAAUUGAAGAGUCAAAAAUUCCUAAAGACACACUAUUAGUGAUGUGGAAAUUCUUGAGUACUCAGGAAAAUUAUCCGAAAUUGUUGAGAGUUUGUCAACACCGGAGACAGAAAUUCGCCAAAUUCUAGGUCUUACAUACCUACUGUCAUAGUUCAUCCAGAACUCCUCGUGAAUCACAGAAACCCUUUCGACUUUGACCCAUCAAGGGGUGGCCCUUGACUGGGAAGUUAAACAAGAAAAAGAAACCUUGGAGAUUCCAAGUGAGUGACCAAGUUCUUUAGGGGAACUCACUCUGGGAAUGGCUUAAUACGCUUCGUAUCGCGUGGAAAGCUAAAUCCAAUAUAGUUAGGACCUCCGAGAUUCUUAUCAGAAUCGGUCCUGUGCCUCGCUCAAACUAGACCUACUCCGUGAACUCAGUAGCGUACAUUCUACUCUUCGCGUCUCGAUCGUGAAACCGUAUCUUUCCGUUAGGACUCUUGUAAGUCCACUCGUCGAGAUCCAUGCCUUUGUAUUUUAACCGUAGUGACCCUCGACCGAGAGGUCAAGCGCACGAAGCAUCGCCACCUCCCAUUAGUUCAGGUUCGUUGUGAUACCAACCAAGAACCCGAUUUCACUUAGGAGCGCUAGAACCAAUCGAUUAGAAAGUUUGCUCCUGAUGACUCGAUCAUUCGUACCUACUUCCUUGUCUAAAUUCUAAUUUNNNNNNNNNNNNNNNNNNNNNNNNNNNNNNNNNNNNNNNNNNNNNNNNNNNNNNNNNNNNNNNNNNNNNNNNNNNNNNNNNNNNNNNNNNNNNNNNNNNNCUAACCCUCGUCCGGCUUUUCAUGGCCCAACGCCUGAGUGGGUGGCAUGUUCAAAAACAUGGAGCCAAGGACAAGAUCAACCCAUGCCAUUUAAUGGAGACCAAAGCUUUUACGACCUGAGCAAUGGGGGCUUAGCAGAUAGAGUCUUGCGAAUCUUGGUCCGCAGAGAGGCCCGAAAUGAGAUUUAAGGUAGGACAGCCCUACAUCUGAUUACUGAAGUUGUCGCCUAUGCUAGAAUGCAUACCCUCUGCACCAUUCGUCUAGAAGAUGCUCGCGACAGAUCUGAGAGAAUCC
RNAcentral lists this long non-coding RNA (4887 nucleotides) under Lactuca sativa (garden lettuce). RNAcentral's name for it is "long non-coding RNA (LSAT_LNC005243)". The record is from RNAcentral. Lineage: Eukaryota; Viridiplantae; Streptophyta; Magnoliopsida; Asterales; Asteraceae.